This 305-nucleotide ribosomal RNA is filed under the name uncultured bacterium. RNAcentral's name for it is "bacterial SSU rRNA". It matches the Rfam family "Bacterial small subunit ribosomal RNA", at positions 338 to 636 of the family's 1533-position model. The record is from RNAcentral.
CCUACGGGAGGCAGCAGUAGGGAAUUUUCGUCAAUGGGCGCAAGCCUGAACGAGCAAUGCCGCGUGAACGAGGAAGGUCUUCGGAUCGUAAAGUUCUGUUGAAGGGGAAAAAGAGCGGAGAGAGGAAAUGCUUUCUGAUUGAUAUUACCCUUCGAGGAAGUCACGGCUAACUACGUGCCGGCAGCCGCGGUAAUACGUAGGUGGCGAGCGUUAUCCGGAUUUAUUGGGUUUAAAGGGUGCGUAGGCGGGCUGUUAAGUCAGCGGUAAAAGCCCGGGGCUCAACCCCGGCGAGCCGUUGAAACUGG